AGUGAACGCUGGCGGCAGGCCUAACACAUGCAAGUCGAGCGGCAGCGCGGGGGCAACCCUGGCGGCGAGCGGCGGACGGGUGAGGAAUGCAUCGGAAUCUACCUCGUUGUGGGGGAUAACGUAGGGAAACUUACGCUAAUACCGCAUGAGACCGAGAGGUGAAAGUGGGGGACCCGCGAGGGCCUCACGCGAUGAGAUGAGCCGAUGCCGGAUUAGCUAGUUGGCGGGGUAAAGGCCCACCAAGGCGACGAUCCGUAGCUGGUCUGAGAGGAUGAUCAGCCACACUGGAACUGAGACACGGUCCAGACUCCUACGGGAGGCAGCAGUGGGGAAUAUUGGACAAUGGGCGCAAGCCUGAUCCAGCCAUGCCGCGUGUGUGAAGAAGGCCUUCGGUUGUAAAGCACUUUGUUGGGGUAAGAAAACCUAGCCGGUUAAUACCUGGCGGGAAGUGACGGUACCCAAAGAAUAAGACACCGGCUAACUUCGUGUCAGCAG
Molecule: ribosomal RNA, 495 nt
Filed under: uncultured bacterium
Lineage: Bacteria
Description: bacterial SSU rRNA
Rfam family: Bacterial small subunit ribosomal RNA
Source: RNAcentral